GGCGGCGUAGCUCAGCUGGCUAGAGCAUACGGUUCAUACCCGUAAGGUCGGGGGUUCGAUUCCCUCCGCCGCUA
RNAcentral lists this transfer RNA (74 nucleotides) under Thermolongibacillus altinsuensis. RNAcentral describes it as "Geobacillus sp. E265 tRNA". It matches the Rfam family "tRNA". Rfam says of the family: Transfer RNA (tRNA) molecules are approximately 80 nucleotides in length. Their secondary structure includes four short double-helical elements and three loops (D, anti-codon, and T loops). Lineage: Bacteria; Bacillati; Bacillota; Bacilli; Caryophanales; Anoxybacillaceae. The record is from Rfam by way of RNAcentral.